This 80-nucleotide transfer RNA is filed under the name Toxoplasma gondii CAST. RNAcentral's name for it is "tRNA-Leu". It matches the Rfam family "tRNA". Rfam says of the family: Transfer RNA (tRNA) molecules are approximately 80 nucleotides in length. The record is from RNAcentral. Lineage: Eukaryota; Apicomplexa; Conoidasida; Eucoccidiorida; Sarcocystidae.
GGCAGAGUGGCCGACUGGUCUAGGGCACUGCGUUAAGGCCGCAGUUCGAAAGGGCGUGGGUUUGAACCCCACUUCUGUCA